CAACUCCACCAACCUUUUUAUUACCCAAUCAAAAGCAAUGUCUAUCGCCCUCACUUUCCUAACCAAAAUUGUGCUCAACGAAUCAGCUUACCUUGUGUCUUUAGACACACCAAUCACUAGCUUUCCUCUGCCACAACAUCGUCACUAAACUUACUUAUUCUCUAUCUUUAGAAUAGUCAAUAUCUCUUUACCGAGUUUCUACCCUUAGACCAAUCGCAUACUUAAUUUAUACAUACGCACCAGUGUAACUAGGUUCUAUAUAAAGUUGUUGGAAUGAACUGUGAUUUAUACGUAUCAAUUCAAUGCACAUUCAAUUUUGAUUAUUGAAUUCAUAAUAAAGUUUGCUAAAAAUAAAGUUAAUAGUUGUGUUACGGCUCAACCUUUUUGUUGUUAUCAUCUAAGUCUCAAGUUUACAUGACAGGCGCCAGUUACAGCUAUGCAGCCACAAACGACUCAUCAACAAAUAUGGACCUUCCGUCACUAUUUCCAAAUUGUUUUCCAACAUGAUACUUUUCUAGGUAUGCAGCCAUCAACGACUCAUCAACAAAUAUGGACCUUCCGUCAUUAUUUCCAAAUUGUUUCACAACAUGAU
Long non-coding RNA from Bombus pascuorum, 592 nucleotides. RefSeq lists it as uncharacterized. The transcript has 3 exons. The record is from RefSeq and is a predicted model, not a curated record. NCBI's taxonomy places the organism in Eukaryota, Metazoa, Arthropoda, Insecta, Hymenoptera, Apidae.